This 315-nucleotide ribosomal RNA is filed under the name uncultured soil bacterium. Its description in RNAcentral is "bacterial SSU rRNA". It matches the Rfam family "Bacterial small subunit ribosomal RNA", at positions 26 to 341 of the family's 1533-position model. The record is from RNAcentral.
AGAUUGAACGCUGGCGGCAGGCCUAACACAUGCAAGUCGAGCGGUAGAGAGGUGCUUGCACCUCUUGAGAGCGGCGGACGGGUGAGUAAUGCCUAGGAAUCUGCCUAGUGGUGGGGGAUAACGUUCGGAAACGGACGCUAAUACCACAUACGUCCUACGGGAGAAAGCGGGGGACCUUCGGGCCUCGCGCCAUUAGAUGAGCCUAGGUCGGAUUAGCUAGGUUGGUGAGGUAAUGGCUCACCAAGGCGACGAUCCGUAACUGGUCUGAGAGGAUGAUCAGUCACACUGGAACUGAGUACACGGUCCAGACUCCUA